AGCUUGAUUAUGGCUCAGAUUGAACGCUGGCGGGAUGCUUUUUACACAUGCAAGUCGAACGUGGCAGCACGGACUUCGGUCUGGUGGCGAGUGGCGAAACGGGUGAGUAAUGUAUCGGAACGUGCCUAGUAGCGGGAUAACUACGCGAAAGCGUAGCUAAUACUCCUCGCAUACGCCCUUCGGGGGAAAGCGGGGACCUUCGGGCCUCGCACUAUUAGAGCGGUCGAUAUCGGAUUAGCUAGUUGGUGGGGUAACGGCUCACCAAGGCGACGAUCCGUAGCUGGUUUGAGAGGACGACCAGCCACAUCGGGACUGGAGACACGGCCCAUUCUGCCGGGAGGCAGCAGCGGGAAUUUUGGACAAUGGGGGAAACUUGAUCCAGCCAUCCCGCGUGUGCGAUGGUCACCUUCGGGUUGUAAAGCACUUUGGCAGAAAGAAAACGGCAUUGCGGAUAAUACCCUGUGCAACUGACGGUACCUGCAGAAUAAGCACCGGCUAACCAGGCCGCCAGCAGCCGUGAAUACGUGGUGUGCAUGUUAAUCGGAAUUACUGGGCGUAAAGCGCGCAGGCGGUUCGGAAAGAAAGAUGUGAAAUCCCAGAGCUUAAUCCCUUUGAACUGCAUUUUUAACUACCGAGUCAGAUGUCAGAGGGGAGGUGAAUUCUGCGUGUAGCAGUGAAAUGAGAUAUGAGGAACGACUCCGAUGGCGAAGUGGCAGCUCUCCCGAUAACAUCAAUUGACGCUCAUGCACGAAAGCGUGGAGCAAACAGGAUUAGAUACCCCGGUAGUCCACGCCCUAAACGAUGUCAACUAGCUUAAGUUGGGGCCUUCUGGGCCUCGAAAGCAGCUAACGGGUGAAGUUGACUGCCUGGGGAGUAAUGGUCGCGGAAGAUUAAAACUCAAAGGAAUUGAUUCUGGACCCGCACAAGCGGUGGAUGAUGUGGAUUAAUCUGAUGCAACGCGAAAACCUUACCUACCCUUGACAUGUCUGGAAUCCCGAAGAGAUUUGGGAGUGCUCACAAGAGAACCGGGAACACAGGUGCCGGGUACGGUCGUCGUCAGCUGCGUCGGCAUGGGUUAAGCCCUGCAACGAGCGCAACCCCCGUCAUUAGUUGCUACGAAAGGGCACUUACGAGACUGCCGGUGACAACUUCCGGAGGAAGUUGCGGGGGAUGACGUCAAGUCCUCAUGGCCUCUUAUGGGUAGGGCUUCACACGUCAGUGCAAUGGUCGACAGAGUGGUCGCUAACCCGCGAGGGGGAGCCAAUCCCAGAAACCCGAUCGUAGUCCGGAUCGCAGCUCAACCUGACUGCGUGAAGUCGGAAUCGCUAGUAAUCGCGAUCAGCAUGUCGCGGUGAAUACGUUCCCCGGCCAGGUACAUCGCCCGUCACACCAUGGGAGUGGGUUUUACCAGAAGUAGUUAGCCUAACCGUAAGGGGGCUGACACACGGUAGGAUUCAUGACUGGGUGAAGUCGUAACAAGGCAA
Molecule: ribosomal RNA, 1484 nt
Filed under: uncultured Bordetella sp.
Lineage: Bacteria; Pseudomonadati; Pseudomonadota; Betaproteobacteria; Burkholderiales; Alcaligenaceae
Description: partial 16S-23S ribosomal RNA intergenic spacer
Rfam family: Bacterial small subunit ribosomal RNA
Source: RNAcentral